Molecule: non-coding RNA, 29 nt
Filed under: Homo sapiens (human)
Lineage: Eukaryota; Metazoa; Chordata; Mammalia; Primates; Hominidae
Source: RNAcentral
AGGUAUUCCUGCUAAUGCUAGGCUGCCAA